RNAcentral lists this ribosomal RNA (253 nucleotides) under uncultured bacterium. RNAcentral's name for it is "partial 16S ribosomal RNA". It matches the Rfam family "Bacterial small subunit ribosomal RNA", at positions 524 to 776 of the family's 1533-position model. The record is from RNAcentral.
UACGGAGGGUGCAAGCGUUGUUCGGAAUCACUGGGCGUAAAGCGCGUGUAGGCGGUCUCCUAAGUCUGGUGUGAAAGCCCGGGGCUUACCCCCGGAAGUGCACUGGAUACUGGGAGACUGGAGUACCGGAGAGGAGGGUGGAAUUCCUGGUGUAGCGGUGAAAUGCGUAGAUAUCAGGAAGAACACCAAUGGCGAAAGCAGCUUUCUGGGACGGUACUGACGCUGAGACGCGAAAGCGUGGGGAGCGAACAGG